Molecule: long non-coding RNA, 492 nt
Organism: Oncorhynchus keta (chum salmon)
Lineage: Eukaryota; Metazoa; Chordata; Actinopteri; Salmoniformes; Salmonidae
Exons: 3
Source: RefSeq, a predicted model, not a curated record
UGUGUGUCCAGAGAGAGACAGCUGUAAGGUUCUAGUUUGUUGUGUGUGUCCAGAGAGAGACAGCUGUUAGGUUCUAGUUUGUUGUGUGUGUCCAGAGAGAGACAGCUGUAAGGUUCUAGUUUGUUGUGUGUGUCCAGAGAGAGACAGCUGUAAGGUUCUAGUUUGUUGUGUGUGUCCAGAGAGAGACAGCUGUAAGGUUCUAGUUUGUUGUUGUGUGUGUCCAGAGAGAGACAGCUGUAAGGUUCUAGUUUGUUGUUGUGUGUGUCCAGAGAGAGACAGCUGUAAGGUUCUAGUUUGUUGUGUGUGUCCAGAGAGAGACAGCUGUUAGGUUCUAGUUUGUUGUGUGUGUCCAGAGAGAGACAGCUGUAAGGUUCUAGUUUGUUGUUGUGUGUCCAGAGAGAGACAGCUGUUAGGUUCUAGUUUGUUGUGUGUGUCCAGAGAGAGACAACUGUAAGGUUCUAGUUUGUUGUUGUGUGUCCAGAGAGAGACCGC